RNAcentral lists this transfer RNA (72 nucleotides) under Cavia porcellus (domestic guinea pig). It matches the Rfam family "tRNA". Rfam says of the family: Transfer RNA (tRNA) molecules are approximately 80 nucleotides in length. Lineage: Eukaryota; Metazoa; Chordata; Mammalia; Rodentia; Caviidae. The record is from Rfam by way of RNAcentral.
AGCAGUGUAGCUCAGAGGUAGAGCACUUGCCUAGCAUGCAUGAAGCCCUGGGUUCAGUCUAUAGCACUGCAA